This 390-nucleotide long non-coding RNA is filed under the name Olea europaea (common olive). RNAcentral's name for it is "long non-coding RNA (OEUR_LNC011966)". The record is from RNAcentral. Lineage: Eukaryota; Viridiplantae; Streptophyta; Magnoliopsida; Lamiales; Oleaceae.
GGAAUACUCAGUAGGAUAUUACAUUAAUGGUGCGAUCCCGAAAAAUAAUUUUAACACAAGUGUCAGAAUACCAUACCGUCGCAUAACUUUAAAUCCGGUAAGAGCUCACAUCAUAUCAUAUCAUUUCAUUUCAUUGUACCGGAAUGGCCAUAUCAUUCAUAUCAUAGCAUUAAUAUCAUAACUUUAACUUUCAUAAAUAUGAAAUUCGUCCACAUGUAGCCAAAAUAAUUAAACGGGAAAUUAAAAAAAUACUGCACCUCAUAUCCUACCUUGUUAAACUGCUUAAAUUUUGGAAGUCAAAACAAGGUUCACGCUCCAACAAUUUCUUGGAAUAAGAAAACCCAAAAUCACGUUGCAACUAUCUUUUCUUUUCUUUCUGCCUUAUCGUGC